RNAcentral lists this ribosomal RNA (534 nucleotides) under uncultured eukaryote. RNAcentral's name for it is "eukaryotic LSU rRNA". It matches the Rfam family "Eukaryotic large subunit ribosomal RNA", at positions 2121 to 2647 of the family's 3401-position model. The record is from RNAcentral.
GGGGGAAUCCGACUGUUUAAUUAAAACAAAGCAUUGCGAAACUUUUAACUAGAUUUUUACGUAAUGUGAUUUCUGCUCAGUGCUCUGAAUGUCAAAGUGAAGUAAUUCAACCAAGCGCGGGUAAACAGCGGGAGUAACUAUGACUCUCUUAAGGUAGCCAAAUGCCUCGUCAUCUAAUUAGUGACGCGCAUGAAUGGAUUAACGAGAUUCCCACUGUCCCUACUUGCUAUCUAGCGAACCAACAGCCAAGGGAACGGGCUUGGCAAUGUCAGCGGGGAAAGAAGACCCUAUUGAGCUUGACUCUAGUCUAAAAUUGUGAAAUAUUUUUAUGGGUGUAGAAUAGGUGGGAGUUUGUAAAAACAAUCUUGAAAUACCACUACCGUAAAUAAUAUUUUACUUAUCUAAUUAUUAUAUAACAUUAUUAGAAAUAAUAAUGUAUUUUUGUAUUACGAAACUAAUUUCUUUUGUUUUUAAUAGUAUAGGUUAGAAAAAUUUUAGUUGGUAGUUUGGCUGGGGUCGGCACAUCUGUUAAAU